This 211-nucleotide ribosomal RNA is filed under the name uncultured bacterium. RNAcentral describes it as "partial 16S ribosomal RNA". It matches the Rfam family "Bacterial small subunit ribosomal RNA", at positions 524 to 738 of the family's 1533-position model. The record is from RNAcentral.
UACGUAGGGGGCGAGCGUUGUCCGGAUUUAUUGGGCGUAAAGAGCGUGUAGGCGGCCAGGUAGGUCUGCUGUGAAAACUCGAGGCUUAACCUCGAGCUGUCGGCGGAAACCAUCUGGCUAGAGUCCGGAAGAGGAGAAUGGAAUUCCCGGUGUAGCGGUGAAAUGCGCAGAUAUCAGGAGGAACACCAAUUGCGAAGGCAGCUCCGCUGGG